RNAcentral lists this small RNA (3646 nucleotides) under Pan troglodytes (chimpanzee). RNAcentral's name for it is "retained intron". Lineage: Eukaryota; Metazoa; Chordata; Mammalia; Primates; Hominidae. The record is from RNAcentral.
UGUGAAAGGACAAAGUUCAGAGCUUGAUAUACACACCCUAUGGUACCAGGCAAUUGGUAAUGGUUUUCCAUUACCCACAUGUACCUCUUUCUUUUCUUUUUCCCUUCUCCUGUUGCCCUUUCUUUAUUUCCUCUUUUACCCUCUUACUCCCUUUAUUCUUUUCCCUUGUUUUCUUCUCCACUGCCUGUGUCUUAGGCCUGCCAGUGACACCCAGGCAUUGCUUAGCCCUGCCCUCCACCCUUCAAGUGGGGAAUGAACACUUGGAUACCUAUGUGCACAAUUAGGUAUGAAUUUCCCUCACAGACUGCAAAGUGCCAGUUUAAAUAGAUCUCACCUGUUAAAGCAAAUCUAUGUUAGACUCACUUCUUCCUGGAAUCAUAGGCUCUAAUAGCAUUUAGAAUGUAAGAAACAGUUUUGGAUGAGAAUACAGUUUGCUGUGGAUAAAUUGAAAAUUGAUUACACUAUAUGUGGAUUGAAGUUUGGUUUUAUUUCAUUCAUCAUCUGUAAUGUUUUACUUAAAUACAAAUUAUAAUGUCAUGCCCAAAGGAAAAUAAUCCUAUGAUAUAAACUGUCAUUGACUUUUAUAAGUGAAUUCUUACUUGAAUUUUUAUUUCAUACUAGGGUACUGAGAUCAUAUAGUACUUUCAUGGGCUUACAGCAAUUUGAAACCCAUGAGAUUUACAGAAACUUAAAACCUCAGUAAAGCAAUUCAGAGAUUUUCUGAACAGGUACGGUGGCUCAUGCCUGUAAUCCCAGCACUUGGGAGGCCGAGGCAGGCGGAUCAUGAGGUCAGGAGUUCGAGACCAGCCUGGUGAAAUCCCGUCUGUACUAAAAAUACAAAAAAAUUACCUGGGCAUGGUGGUGCGCACCUGUACAAUCCCAGCUACUCGAGAGGCUGAGGCAGGAGAAUCACUUGAACCCAGGAGCCGAGAUCGCGCCACUGCCCUCCAGCCUGGGCGAUAGAGUGAGAUUCUCUCAAAAAAAAAAAAAAAAAACUCAAAGAUUUUCAACUGACUUCAUCAUAUUAGUUAAAAUUAAAUGUUACCUGUGGAUUUCAUAUUAGACCUAUAAAUUUGUUAUAGCAAAAAUAAGUUGCUUAUUUAAAAAAGAUAAAUAUUUUCAAGUAAAAUGUAUUUCUUUUAAGGUACCAGUUCUAUAUGACCAUAUUAGAAAUUCAGUUUGGGAUUUUUUUUUUCCUUUUUGGAUGGUGUUCCAGCUUGCCAUAGAAUAAAUGCCAAAAUGUCUGUCUAGACACUAAGAAUUUCAAAUCAAAUGUAUUCUAAUUUUAAAAAGUCUAUAGUCAAGAUUAAUUUUAGUACAUUUCUCUUCAUAAAGCAUUUUUCCCUUAUAUCUACUUAUUCAGUUGAAUUCAGGGAUGUAUUUCUUUUUUAGAAGAUAAAUGAGAAAAUGAGUAUUUAUGUUCUCUAAAACUGAGCACAAGAAAGAAUACCUAGAAUUAUUUGGAAAUAAAACCAUUCUAAAUCUCUUAUAUGUAUUUGGGAAUAAUUUUGCUGCUGUGUACAAAGAAAUAAAAUAUUUUUUAGAUAAGAAACUAAGGAUCAUGUAUUUUGAAACAUUACAUGCCUGUGGUCACUGUUAAGGAAAUUGCUCAGAAAUAAUGUUAACAGUUUAUUUAUAAAAUUAAUGUGAUACUAUAAGCAAUAUUUAAAAAAGUAAUAUCAGAGCUCUAAAGGUAUUUUUAAUAUAAUUAAAGUAUGCAUAAUUACUAGUACAAAAAAAGCCUAUAUCUUUUGAUUUUUAACUUUUUGCUUCAAAAUGCUUAAUAGAAAAACUAGUGAGAUUAGCCAACUCUGGGAGAAACAUGAUACUGCAAUAUGCUGUUCCUCUUAUGAACUGCUGCUUCUACUUAAAAUCUAUUGAUUAUGCAGAAAGCAUGAAAAAUAUAGAAAGAUACUAAAAUGAAAGUCGCUCAUAAUUUGCAUUGCUCAGAAAUAAUAUUAACAGUUUAUUUCCCUCCAAGAUUUUGAUGUGCAUGUAUAAUUUAUUUUAAAAUGGCCAGCAUGUAGUUAUGAGACAUUGGGCUGUUUACUCAUCUGUACAAUGGGGAUAAUAGCACCUUCCUCAUGGUUUGAUUAGGAGGAUGAAUUGAAAAAGUUCCAUAAGGCUGCCACAGUGUGAUGGUGAUGGUGAUGGUGGUGAUAAUGAUGUUGUCAUUAUGAUUAUCGUAAUAUUUAGUAUAGUAUCUUUUUAAAAAAAUUAAUAUGAGCAAUAUAAAAAGAAUAAUGUAUUAUCAGAGCUCUAAAUGCCCUAUGAAAUCAUGAUUUCAGGUGGUUGCGUCAUAUUUUAUCUUAUUUACAAUAUAAUUUAACCACCUCCUUUUUCAUCUUCUUCACAUUAAAGGAGGAAAAGAAAUACCAUGCUUCUUUCCAUUUCCAAAUGAUCUCUUGUCUCCUCACUGACCUCUAGUUAAUUUCUAUAAUAAGUGAUUUCUAUCAUUCAUUCUUAACUUUCUUUAAAACUUCUAAGAAAUGUAAUUUCUUAAGUGGUUUGCCCUAAGCUCUGAAAUUUUUUAUAUUUGGGGUCAGGGAGAGUAAUGACUUCAUAUGCAGAUUUUUAGCUUUUUCUUUAAGAGCAAGGAUUACCCUUAAUACCAGUUAUAAGGAUAAUGUUUUGAGCUAUAACACAUAUGUGGUUUGUGUUUUGACCUUCUUUGAACAAGCUUUCUAAAAUGGUGUUUCAUCAAUAUAAUUAGCAAAUUAAUAUAUCUACUCCAUAGGUAUCUUUGAGUGUCUGUAUCUUUCAUUAAAAUCAUUCUUAUUCAAAAAUUGUUGCUUUUUCAAAUUCUUUUAAUUCACUAAAUGAUAAUUAAGUUUUUACAUCUAUUCUCCUACAAUUCCAUUCCCCCCACUGCAGUGUUUUUUAAUUGUGAAAGAAGCAUGAAAAAGCUAUCUUCUAAUUUUGUCUUUUGAUUUUUAAAAUUGUUAGGAUUUUGAAUGUAAAAUACAUAUAAGUAUUCUAAAAAUGAAACUUUUCUUGACCAAGGAAGAAAUACAUUAAAAGUAGAGAAGUCUGAUUAAGGUUCAUUACAGCAUUAAUUUAGAAAGUAUGGGAAAGACAGGGAAAAAUGUCAGUUUUAAAUAAUUAAAACACUGAAUUAUUAGUACUGCUAGGUCUUUUGCAAGCACUUUAUCAUUAACAUGUGACUUACGUUUUAUUCCAGUUUGUCUGCAUAGCCCAGCAAGAUUACUGCCGUAUUCUCAACCAAGUAGAAAAGAACAUGCAAAAAGUUGAAGAGGAAGGAGAGAUUGUUAUGGUGAAAGAACACCGAGAACUUGAUCGAACUGGAACAAGAAAGGGACACAUUGUCAUCAAGGGUACCUCAGAAAGGUUAACAAUGCAUUUGGUGGAAGAGCAUUCAGUAGUAGAUCCAACAUUCAUAGAAGACUUUCUGUUGACCUAUAGGACUUUUCUUUCUAGCCCAAUGGAAGUGGGCAAAAAGUUAUUGGAGUGGUUUAAUGACCCGAGCCUCAGGGAUAAGGUUGGAAAUAUAUUCUAUUUUGGCUCUUAAAUAUGAAAUGUAAACCUAAAGAUACUUUAAUGUGUAUAUUUGUCACAGCAAUUAUGUCCAGAUUAAUGUAAUGAAAUAGGAGAAUGUAAUUCUUAAGCAAAAAAAAAACAACAAAAA